GGAAGGGRUGUAUUUAUUAGAUUAAAAACCAAUGCCCUUCGGGGCUCUGUGGUGAUUCAUAAUAACUUCUCGAAUCGCACGGCCUUGCGCCGGCGAUGGUUCAUUCAAAUUUCUGCCCUAUCAACUUUCGACGGCUGGGUCUUGGCCAGCCAUGGUGACAACGGGUAACGGAGGGUUAGGGCUCGACCCCGGAGAAGGAGCCUGAGAAACGGCUACUACAUCCAAGGAAGGCAGCAGGCGCGCAAAUUACCCAAUCCCGACUCGGGGAGGUAGUGACAAUAAAUACUGAUACAGGGCUCUUUUGGGUCUUGUAAUUGGAAUGAGUACAAUUUAAAUCCCUUAACGAGGAACAAUUGGAGGGCAAGUCUGGUGCCAGCAGCCGCGGUAAUUCCAGCUCCAAUAGCGUAUAUUAAAGUUGUUGCAGUUAAAAAGCUCGUAGUUGAACCUUGGGCCUGGCUGGCCGGUCCGCCUCACCGCGUGCACUGGUCCGGCCGGGCCUUUCCCUCUGGGGAACCGCAUGCCCUUCACUGGGCGUGUCGGGGAACCAGGACUUUUAC
RNAcentral lists this ribosomal RNA (557 nucleotides) under uncultured Pezizomycotina. Its description in RNAcentral is "SSU rRNA". It matches the Rfam family "Eukaryotic small subunit ribosomal RNA", at positions 196 to 766 of the family's 1831-position model. Lineage: Eukaryota; Fungi; Ascomycota. The record is from RNAcentral.